RNAcentral lists this ribosomal RNA (406 nucleotides) under uncultured bacterium. RNAcentral describes it as "partial 16S ribosomal RNA". It matches the Rfam family "Bacterial small subunit ribosomal RNA", at positions 30 to 526 of the family's 1533-position model. The record is from RNAcentral.
AUUGAACGCUGGCGGCAGGCCUAACACAUGCAAGUCGAACGAGUGGCGGACGGGUGAGUAAUGUCUGGGAAACUGCCUGAGGGAGGGGGAUAACUACUGGAAACGGUAGAUACUACCGCAUACCAUCAGAUGUGCCCAGAUGGGAUUAGCGUGGUGGUGGGGUAACGGCUCACCAAGGCGACGAUCCCUAGCUGGUCUGAGAGGAUGACCGGCCACCCUGGAACGUAGACACGGUCCAGACUCCUUCGUGAGGCAGCAGUGGGGAAGAUUGCACAAUGGGCGCAAGCCUGAUGCAGCCAUGCCGGGUGUAUGAAGAAGGCCUUCGGGUUGUAAAGUACUGUCAGCGGGUAGGCGUUACCCGCAGAAGGAGCACCGGCUAACUCCGUGCCAGCCGCCGCGGUAAUUC